RNAcentral lists this transfer RNA (65 nucleotides) under Dipodomys ordii (Ord's kangaroo rat). It matches the Rfam family "tRNA". From Rfam's summary of the family: Transfer RNA (tRNA) molecules are approximately 80 nucleotides in length. Their secondary structure includes four short double-helical elements and three loops (D, anti-codon, and T loops). The record is from Rfam by way of RNAcentral. Lineage: Eukaryota; Metazoa; Chordata; Mammalia; Rodentia; Heteromyidae.
GGUGGCUCAAUGGUAGAGUGCUUGCUUCACGCGCAUGAGGCCCUGAGUUCAUUUCCUCAGCACCA